AGAGUUUGAUCCUGGCUCAGGACGAACGCUGGCGGCGUGCUUAACACAUGCAAGUCGAGCGAUGAACCACCUUCGGGUGUGAAUUAGCGGCGAACGGGUGAGGAACACGUGAGAAAUCUUGCCUUCAACACUGGGAUAACUCCGGGAAACCGGGGCUAAUACCGGAUAUGAAAUCUGCGGGCAUCCGCGGAUUUGGAAAGUUUUUCGGUUGAAGAUGAUCUCGCGGCCUAUCAGCUUGUUGGUGAGGUAAUGGCUCACCAAGGCGACGACGGGUAGCCGGCCUGAGAGGGCGACCGGCCACACUGGGACUGAGACACGGCCCAGACUCCUACGGGAGGCAGCAGUGGGGAAUAUUGGGCAAUGGAGGAAACUCUGACCCAGCGACGCCGCGUGCGGGAUGAAGGCCUUCGGGUUGUAAACCGCUUUCAGCAGGGAAGAAGCGAAAGUGACGGUACCUGCAGAAGAAGCACCGGCUAACUAUGUGCCAGCAGCCGCGGUAAUACAUAGGGUGCAAGCGUUGUCCGGAAUUAUUGGGCGUAAAGAGCUCGUAGGUGGUUCGUCACGUCGGAUGUGAAACUCUGGGGCUUAACCCCAGACCUGCAUUCGAUACGGGCGAGCUUGAGUAUGGUAGGGGAGUCUGGAAUUC
Molecule: ribosomal RNA, 646 nt
Filed under: uncultured Crater Lake bacterium CL0-39
Lineage: Bacteria
Description: bacterial SSU rRNA
Rfam family: Bacterial small subunit ribosomal RNA
Source: RNAcentral